GGUAGUCCACGCCGUAAACGAUGGAAGCUAGCCGUUGGUAAGUUUACUUAUCGGUGGCGCAGCUAACGCAUUAAGCUUCCCGCCUGGGGAGUACGGUCGCAAGAUUAAAACUCAAAGGAAUUGACGGGGCCCCGCACAAGCGGCGGAGCAUGCGGAUUAAUUCGAUGCAACGCGUAGAACCUUACCUGGGUUUGACAUGGAUCGGGAGCUUCCAGAGAUG
This 220-nucleotide ribosomal RNA is filed under the name Compsopogon caeruleus. Its description in RNAcentral is "partial Bacterial small subunit ribosomal RNA". It matches the Rfam family "Bacterial small subunit ribosomal RNA", at positions 789 to 1008 of the family's 1533-position model. The record is from RNAcentral. Lineage: Eukaryota; Rhodophyta; Compsopogonophyceae; Compsopogonales; Compsopogonaceae.